Molecule: ribosomal RNA, 403 nt
Filed under: Fusobacteriota bacterium
Lineage: Bacteria; Fusobacteriati; Fusobacteriota
Description: Fusobacteria bacterium partial 16S ribosomal RNA
Rfam family: Bacterial small subunit ribosomal RNA
Source: RNAcentral
UGGGGAAUAUUGCACAAUGGGGGAAACCCUGAUGCAGCGACGCCGCGUGAGCGAAGAAGGUUUUCGAAUCGUAAAGCUCUGUCCUAUGGGAAGAUAAUGACGGUACCAUAGGAGGAAGCCCCGGCUAACUACGUGCCAGCAGCCGCGGUAAUACGUAGGGGGCAAGCGUUGUCCGGAAUCACUGGGCGUAAAGGGUUCGCAGGCGGAAAUGCAAGUCAGUUGUGAAAGGCAGAGGCUCAACCUCUGUAAGCAAUUGAAACUGUAUUUCUUGAGAUGUGGAGAGGCAAGUGGAAUUCCUAGUGUAGCGGUGAAAUGCGUAGAUAUUAGGAAGAAAACCGGUGGCGAAGGCGACUUGCUGGACACAAACUGACGCUGAGGAACGAAAGCGUGGGUAGCAAACAGG